This 96-nucleotide small RNA is filed under the name Symbiodinium sp. Mp. Its description in RNAcentral is "partial Cyanobacteria transfer-messenger RNA". Lineage: Eukaryota; Dinophyceae; Suessiales; Symbiodiniaceae. The record is from RNAcentral.
GCCAGCGGUAAGAUUCCAAAGGAAACACUCUUCAUCUCCAUACCUUUCCAUCUUGUGGUUGUAACCGUCUCGACGGUCAAGAUGGUAAGGAUAUGA